This 408-nucleotide ribosomal RNA is filed under the name uncultured bacterium. RNAcentral describes it as "bacterial SSU rRNA". It matches the Rfam family "Bacterial small subunit ribosomal RNA", at positions 9 to 424 of the family's 1533-position model. The record is from RNAcentral.
GAGUUUGAUCGUGGCUCAGGACGAACGCUGGCGGCGUGCUUAACACAUGCAAGUCGAACGGUGAAGCCCUUCGGGGUGGAUCAGUGGCGAACGGGUGAGUAACACGUGAGCAACCUGCCCCUGGCUCUGGGAUAACCAUCGGAAACGGUGGCUAAUACUGGAUACGACCCACGAUCGCAUGGUGUGUGGGUGGAAAGUUUUUCGGCUGGAGAUGGGCUCGCGGCCUAUCAGCUUGUUGGUGGGGUGAUGGCCUACCAAGGCGACGACGGGUAGCCGGCCUGAGAGGGCGAUCGGCCACACUGGGACUGAGACACGGCCCAGACUCCUACGGGGGCAGCAGUGGGGAAUAUUGCGCAAUGGGCGAAAGCCUGACGCAGCGACGCCGCGUGAGGGAUGACGGCCUCGGUU